UACGCGGGGUGCUAGCGUUGUUCGGAAUUACUGGGCGUAAAGCGCACGCAGGCGGCUUUAUAAGUCAGGGGUGAAAUCCCGGGGCUCAACCUCGGAAUUGCCCUUGAUACUGUCUAUCUUGAGUUCGGGAGAGGUGAGUGGAAUUCCUAGUGUAGAGGCGAAAUUCGUAGAUACUAGGAAGAACACCAGUGGCGAAGGCGGUUCACUGGCCCGGUACUGACGCUCAUGUGCGAAAGCGUGGGGAGCAAACAUG
RNAcentral lists this ribosomal RNA (253 nucleotides) under uncultured bacterium. Its description in RNAcentral is "partial 16S ribosomal RNA". It matches the Rfam family "Bacterial small subunit ribosomal RNA", at positions 524 to 776 of the family's 1533-position model. The record is from RNAcentral.